RNAcentral lists this ribosomal RNA (253 nucleotides) under uncultured bacterium. RNAcentral describes it as "partial 16S ribosomal RNA". It matches the Rfam family "Bacterial small subunit ribosomal RNA", at positions 524 to 776 of the family's 1533-position model. The record is from RNAcentral.
UACGUAGGUGGCGAGCGUUGUCCGGAUUUACUGGGCGUAAAGGGCGUGCAGGCGGUUUGUUAAGUGCAGGGUGAAAGCUCCCGGCUCACUGGGAGAGGUCCUUGCAUACUGGCGAACCCGAGGGAGGCAGAGGAAAGUGGAAUUCCCGGUGUAGUGGUGAUAUGCGUAGAUAUCGGGAGGAACACCUGUGGCGAAGGCGGCUUUCUGGGCCUUACCUGACGCUGAGACGGCGAAAGCGUGGGGAGCGAACCGG